This 298-nucleotide ribosomal RNA is filed under the name Zea mays. RNAcentral's name for it is "partial 18S ribosomal RNA". It matches the Rfam family "Bacterial small subunit ribosomal RNA", at positions 1283 to 1533 of the family's 1533-position model. Lineage: Eukaryota; Viridiplantae; Streptophyta; Magnoliopsida; Poales; Poaceae. The record is from RNAcentral.
UUGCCUCAGUUCGGAUUGUUCUCUGCAACUCGGGAACAUGAAGUAGAAAUCGCUAGUAAUCGCGGAUCAGCAUGCCGCGGUGAAUAUGUACCCGGGCCCUGUACACACCGCCCGUCACACCCUGGGAAUUGGUUUCGCCCGAAGCAUCGGACCAAUGAUCACCCAUGACUUCUGUGUACCACUAGUGCCACAAAGGCCUUUGGUGGUCUUAUUGGCGCAUACCACGGUGGGGUCUUCGACUGGGGUGAAGUCGUAACAAGGUAGCCGUAGGGGAACCUGUGGCUGGAUUGAAUCCUUC